This 474-nucleotide ribosomal RNA is filed under the name uncultured marine eukaryote. Its description in RNAcentral is "bacterial SSU rRNA". It matches the Rfam family "Eukaryotic small subunit ribosomal RNA", at positions 618 to 1090 of the family's 1831-position model. The record is from RNAcentral.
GUUAAAAAGCUCGUAGUUGGAUUUCUGCGGGGGCGGGGCGGCCGGAUGCUUAUAGCAUCUCGAGCUAGCACUUCCCCCGCAUCCUGCCGCGAACCGUGCUACCAUUAGUUUGGUGGCGCUGGGGAUCGGCUCGUUUACUUUGAGAAAAAUAGAGUGUUCAAAGCAGGCCACACGCCUUGAAUAAGUUAGCAUGGAAUAAUGAUAAAGGACUUCGGUUCUAUUUUGUUGGUGUUCGGGACUGAAGUAAUGAUUGAUAGGGACAGUCGGGGCGGUCAGUAUUCCAAAGCGAGAGGUGAAAUUCUUAGACCUUCGGAAGACUAACAGCUGCGAAAGCGUUCCGCAAGGAUGUUCCCUUUGAUCAAGAACGAAAGUUGGGGGAUCGAAGACGAUCAGAUACCGUCGUAGUCUCAACUAUAAACUAUACCAGCUAGGGAUCGGCCGACGUUUACUUAUAUCGACUCGGUCGGCACCUUA